UACGUAGGGGGCAAGCGUUGUCCGGAAUCAUUGGGCGUAAAGAGCGUGUAGGCGGCCCGGUCAGUCCGCCGUGAAAGUCCAGGGCUCAACCCUGGAAUGCCGGUGGAUACUGCCGGGCUGGAGUCCGGAAGAGGCGAGUGGAAUUCCUGGUGUAGCGGUGAAAUGCGCAGAUAUCAGGAGGAACACCGGUGGCGAAGGCGGCGACCUGGGUCGAUACUGACGCUGAUGCGCGAAAGCGUGGGGAGCAAACAGG
Molecule: ribosomal RNA, 253 nt
Filed under: uncultured bacterium
Lineage: Bacteria
Description: partial 16S ribosomal RNA
Rfam family: Bacterial small subunit ribosomal RNA
Source: RNAcentral